GUGUCAGCAGCCGCGGUAAUACAGAGGGUGCGAGCGUUAAUCGGAAUUACUGGGCGUAAAGCGCGCGUAGGCGGCUAUGCAAGUCGAGUGUGAAAUCCCCGGGCUCAACCUGGGAACUGCAUUCGAGACUGCAUUGCUUGAGUAUGGGAGAGGGAGGCGGAAUUUCAGGUGUAGCGGUGAAAUGCGUAGAUAUCUGAAGGAACAUCAGUGGCGAAAGCGGCCUCCUGGACCAAUACUGACGCUCAAGUGCGAAAGCGUGGGGAGCAAACAGGAUUAGAUACCCCAGUAGUCC
RNAcentral lists this ribosomal RNA (292 nucleotides) under uncultured bacterium. Its description in RNAcentral is "partial 16S ribosomal RNA". It matches the Rfam family "Bacterial small subunit ribosomal RNA", at positions 505 to 796 of the family's 1533-position model. The record is from RNAcentral.